UAUUGGUCCAUGGGCGGGAGCCUGAACCAGCCAAGUCGCGUGAGGGAGUAAGGCCCUACGGGUCGUAAGCCUCUUUUGCCGGGGAGCAGGGCGGCGGACGUGUCCGCCGUUUGAGAGUACCCGGAGAAAAAGCAUCGGCUAACCCCGUGCCAGCAGCCGCGGUAAUACGGAGGAUGAGAGCGUUAUCCGGCUUUAGUGGGUUUAAAGGGUGCGUAGGCGGGCUUUUAAGUCAGCGGUAAAAAGUCGGGGCUCAACCCCGUCCGGCCGUUGAAACUGGGGGCCUAGAGUGGGCGAGAAGAAGGCGGAAUGCGUGGUGUAGCGGUGAAAUGCAUAGAUAUCACGCAGAACCCCGAUUGCGAAGGCAGCCUUCCGGCGCCCUACUGACGCUGAGGCACGAAAGUGCGGGGAUCGA
RNAcentral lists this ribosomal RNA (412 nucleotides) under uncultured bacterium. RNAcentral describes it as "bacterial SSU rRNA". It matches the Rfam family "Bacterial small subunit ribosomal RNA", at positions 362 to 771 of the family's 1533-position model. The record is from RNAcentral.